This 260-nucleotide ribosomal RNA is filed under the name uncultured bacterium. RNAcentral's name for it is "partial 16S ribosomal RNA". It matches the Rfam family "Bacterial small subunit ribosomal RNA", at positions 99 to 354 of the family's 1533-position model. The record is from RNAcentral.
CGCACGGGUGAGUAACGCGUAUGCGACCUGCCCGUUGCAGGGGGGAUAAUCGGGAGAAAUCCCGUCUAAUACCGCGUAACGCCGCGGGGCUGCAUGGCCCUGCGGCCAAAGGGAGCGAUUCCGGCAACGGAUGGGCAUGCGUGACAUUAGCUAGUUGGUGGGGCAACGGCCCACCAAGGCGACGAUGUCUAGGGGUUCUGAGAGGAAGGUCCCCCACACUGGUACUGAGACACGGACCAGACUCCUACGGGAGGCAGCAG